GACUCUCGGCAACGGAUAUCUCGGCUCUUGCAUCGAUGAAGAACGUAGCGAAAUGCGAUACGUGGUGUGAAUUGCAGAAUCCCGUGAACCAUCGAGUUUUUGAACGCAAGUUGCGCCCAAAGCCUUUUGGUUGAGGGCACGUCUGCCUGGGUGUCACAC
RNAcentral lists this ribosomal RNA (159 nucleotides) under Garcinia mangostana. RNAcentral's name for it is "5.8S ribosomal RNA". It matches the Rfam family "5.8S ribosomal RNA". Rfam says of the family: 5.8S ribosomal RNA (5.8S rRNA) is a component of the large subunit of the eukaryotic ribosome. Lineage: Eukaryota; Viridiplantae; Streptophyta; Magnoliopsida; Malpighiales; Clusiaceae. RNAcentral also lists the same sequence under 12 other names. The record is from RNAcentral.